RNAcentral lists this long non-coding RNA (214 nucleotides) under Ananas comosus (pineapple). RNAcentral describes it as "long non-coding RNA (ACOM_LNC018147)". The record is from RNAcentral. Lineage: Eukaryota; Viridiplantae; Streptophyta; Magnoliopsida; Poales; Bromeliaceae.
AUUAUUUGAUUCUUUUAUUCAAAAAUGCUUGGUAACAUUACCCCUCUACCCCUCCCCCUCUCCCUCUCCGUCUCUCUCUCCCCUUAUUUCUCUCUCUCUCUUUCCCUCCACAUUUUUCUCUUCUCUCUCUCUUUUCCUCCAUCUUCACUUUCUAUCUCUUUUCCUCCAUCAUUCGUCGAAACUUCUCUUGCGCUACGACCAUUGUGAUAAGAUG